This 553-nucleotide ribosomal RNA is filed under the name uncultured bacterium. RNAcentral's name for it is "bacterial SSU rRNA". It matches the Rfam family "Bacterial small subunit ribosomal RNA", at positions 777 to 1327 of the family's 1533-position model. The record is from RNAcentral.
AAUAGAUACCCCGGUAGUCCACGCCGUAAACGAUGAGUGCUAAGUGUUAGGGGGUUUCCGCCCCUUAGUGCUGCAGCUAACGCAUUAAGCACUCCGCCUGGGGAGUACGGUCGCAAGACUGAAACUCAAAGGAAUUGACGGGGGCCCGCACAAGCGGUGGAGCAUGUGGUUUAAUUCGAAGCAACGCGAAGAACCUUACCAGGUCUUGACAUCCCAUUGACCACUAUGGAGACAUAGUUUUCCCUUCGGGGACAACGGUGACAGGUGGUGCAUGGUUGUCGUCAGCUCGUGUCGUGAGAUGUUGGGUUAAGUCCCGCAACGAGCGCAACCCUUGUUCUUAGUUGCCAUCAUUUAGUUGGGCACUCUAAGGAGACUGCCGGUGACAAACCGGAGGAAGGUGGGGAUGACGGUCAAAUCAUCAUGCCCCUUAUGACCUGGGCUACACACGUGCUACAAUGGACGGUACAAACGGUUGCCAACCCGCGAGGGGGAGCUAAUCCGAUAAAACCGUUCUCAGUUCGGAUUGUAGGCUGCAACUCGCCUACAUGAAGCC